ACUUCCUGAUGCUUCUCAUGGGGAUCAGAGCAGCAGAAGCAGCAGAUGCUGGAUCCAAGACUUAGAAACAGAAAAUAUGGAACUUAAAAAUAAAGUACAAGAUUUGGAAAACCAACUGAGAAUAACUCAAGUAUCAGCACCUCCAGCAGGCAGUAUGACACCUAAGUCGCCCUCCACUGACAUCUUUGAUAUGAUUCCGUUUUCUCCAAUAUCACACCAGUCUUCGAUGCCUACUCGCAAUGGCACACAGCCACCUCCAGUACCUAGUAGAUCUACUGAGAUUAAACGGGACCUGUUUGGAGCAGAACCUUUUGACCCAUUUAACUGUGGAGCAGCAGAUUUCCCUCCAGAUAUUCAAUCAAAAUUAGAUGAGAUGCAGGAGGGGUUCAAAAUGGGACUAACUCUUGAAGGCACAGUAUUUUGUCUCGACCCAUUAGACAGUAGGUGCUGACAUCAAGAACAAGAAAUCCUGAUUCAUGUUAAAUGUGUUUAUAUACACAUGUCAUUUAUUAUUACUUUAAGAUAGGUAUUAUUCACGUGUCAAUAUGUUUUUGAAUAUUUUAAUAUUUUGAAAAUUUUUUCAGUUAAAUUUCCUCACCUUCACUAUUGAUCUAUAAUUUUUAUUUUAAAAACAGCUUACUGUAAAGUAGAUCAUACUUUUAUGUUCCUUUCUGUUUCUACUGUAGAUGAAUUUGUAAUUGAAAGACAUAUUAUAUAAAUACCUGCCUUGUGUCUGAGUUCUAUUUAGUUAGCAUCUUGA
RNAcentral lists this small RNA (760 nucleotides) under Pan troglodytes (chimpanzee). RNAcentral's name for it is "processed transcript". The record is from RNAcentral. Lineage: Eukaryota; Metazoa; Chordata; Mammalia; Primates; Hominidae.